CCUACGGGUGGCAGCCGUGAGGAAUAUUGGUCAAUGGGCGUAAGCCUGAACCAGCCAAGUCGCGUGAGGGAUGAAGUUUCUAGGGAUCGUACACCUCUUUUAUAAGGGAAUAAAGUGUGGGACGUGUCCUAUUUGGUAUGUACCUUAUGAAUAAGAAUCGGCUAACUCCGUGCCAGCAGCCGCGGUAAUACGGAGGAUCCGAGCGUUAUCCGGAUUUAUUGGGUUUAAAGGGUGCGUAGGCGGCCAUUUAAGUCAGCGGUGAAAGUCUGUGGCUCAACCUUAGAAUGGCCGUUGAAACUGGGGGGCUUGAGUAGGGUUGAGGCAGGCGGAAUGCGUGGUGUAGCGGUGAAAUGCUUAGAUAUCACGAAGAACCCCGACUGCGAAGGCAGCCUGCCAAGCCAUGACUGACGCUGAUGCACGAAAGCGUGGGGAUCAAACAGGAUUAGAUACCCUAGUAGUC
RNAcentral lists this ribosomal RNA (460 nucleotides) under uncultured bacterium. RNAcentral's name for it is "partial 16S ribosomal RNA". It matches the Rfam family "Bacterial small subunit ribosomal RNA", at positions 338 to 795 of the family's 1533-position model. The record is from RNAcentral.